Molecule: ribosomal RNA, 497 nt
Filed under: uncultured bacterium
Lineage: Bacteria
Description: partial 16S ribosomal RNA
Rfam family: Bacterial small subunit ribosomal RNA
Source: RNAcentral
GAUGAACGCUGGCGGCGUGCCUAAUACAUGCAAGUCGAGCGAACAGACGUGGAGUUUGCUGCUCUGACGUUAGCGGCGGACGGGUGAGUAACGAGUGGAUCACCUACCUUUUAGCCUGGGCUUACUUCGGGACCCCGGAGCCUAUACCGGAUAAUCUAUUGAACCGCAUGGUUCAAUCGUGAAUGGAGGUUUUGCUGUUACUUAUAGGUGGAUCCGCGCCGGAUUAUCUAGUUGGUAAGGUAAUGGUUUACCAAGGCAACGAUGCGUAGCCGACCUGCGAGGGAGAUGGGCCACAGUGGAAGUGAGACACGGACCAGACUCCUACGGGUGGGAGCGGUAGGGGAUGUGCCGCAAUGGGCAAGAGCCUGACGGAGCAGCGCCGCGUGAGUGAGGAAGGUGUCCGGAUCGGGAAACUCUGUUACUAGGGAAGGACAAAUGUGUAAGUAGCUAGGAAGGUCGUGACGGUACCGGAUGAGAAAGCCACGGCUAACUACGUG